Long non-coding RNA from Monodelphis domestica (gray short-tailed opossum), 1631 nucleotides. The record is from Ensembl. Lineage: Eukaryota; Metazoa; Chordata; Mammalia; Didelphimorphia; Didelphidae.
CCAUGGUAACAUGAUUCAUGUUAUCUCCCUCCUCUCUUCCAUUCCCCCCUCCCAGAGCUGACAAGCAAUUCUACUGGGUUAUAUAUGUAUUAUUUCAGCAAUAUUUUUUGACUGACUGGUUGAUAGAGAAGUUUGAGAAUCUGUUUAUUCCCAAAUUAUGAACUUGGUUCCAAAGUUAAUUGGAAUCCCCUAAGAAGAAAAGCCUAGUGAGGAGAACAAUCAAGAAGCAGAUGCCUUAUACACAACUCUUUCUGUAUAUAUGGCUAGCUGUCCCAGAACUAUAUCCUAAAAGAAAAAUAACAGUGUUCUGUUGGAGGCAAAGCUGGCCCCAAGUCCUCAAAAUUUGGAGUUUGGGUGUAUUCCUAGAGCCAUAUUCCACAAUACAUAGCUAAGGCUUCUUAACUUCAAAGGAUACAGAAUGCUGCAGCCUGAAGUCUCCAGAAAGCAAGCAACUGGUGUGGAAACAAGAGAGAGAACCUGGAUAGGUGACUUCUAAGAACUUUACAAAUCAUAUCUCAUUGGAUCCUCACAAUAACCUUUACAUUAGCCUCAUUUUAUAGAUGAAGAAACUGAGGCAAGCAGAAAUUAAGUGACUUGCACAGGGUCACAUAGCUAGUAAGUAUCUGAGGCUAGACAUGAAUCCAAGUCUCUCUGACUCUAGCCCCAAUGCUCCAUCUAACUGUGCCAUCUAACUGACUCUUUGUGGCCUCUUGUUCAAAUGCUUUCAUAUUGCAUUCCAUUUCUAUCAUGUACUUGGCAUAUUCUAAUUUUUUAUUAUUUGUGAAUGUUUCCUAUCUUCCCUACUAGAUCAUGAUCAGUCAUGAACUUUAGUAGAACGAACACUAGAUUUGGAGUCAGGAGGCUGGUCCUUGCUCAGUGUGUGUUUAUGGUGCUUAUAUGCUAUGUGACUAUGACUCAUGGAACAAAACAAUCUUGGAAGAAUCAAGACUAUGGAUGACCCAGAAUUACUCACUCUGGAAUUCAUACCUCUUCAGCACAUUCUUUUCAUGGGGACCUUUCCUUUUGGAUGGAAGCAGAGAUUGGAGGAUGAUGAGCUCCUUGAAAUACCUCUAUGUAAGGUAAGCACCAAGAUCAGUCAUCUCUUUCUUUCCCAUUGGAUUGCCCUACUCGGGACUUCUCCAUCAUCCCUCCCUAAAAGAGGAAUUCUCCCUGUCCCCCCUUCCUUUAAUGGAUUGUCUUUCUCUAUUAGAAUAUAAGUGACUUGAGGGCAGGAACUAUCUUUUUGCUUAUAUUUGUAUUCCCCACUCUUAGCACAAAGCAAGGCAAAAGUAGAUCCUUAAGAAAUCCUUCUUGACUGAGUAACUGAGGGUCACCUAUAUAGUCACUGAGGACAUCUUCAAUGAUAGUAUUAGUAGGGAACAAGUAGGUUUUCACAAAUGAUAUUCAACAAUGGGCACAUCUUUAACAUCUCACAAUUGAUGGAAAGAUGAAGAAAACAUGAAAUCCUAUUGUGCUUCUUGUUUAUUGAUUAUGAAAAAGAAUUCAACUAGGGAGGAACAAAAUGCAGCCUUCCAGGCUCUUUUAUAAUGUGUUUCCAAUCCAUAUAUCAAGAUUGUUCCAGAUUACUUGGAAGAUGCAACAGCACGAAUAAACCUGUAAAGCACAGGUCA